RNAcentral lists this ribosomal RNA (322 nucleotides) under uncultured bacterium. Its description in RNAcentral is "bacterial SSU rRNA". It matches the Rfam family "Bacterial small subunit ribosomal RNA", at positions 29 to 366 of the family's 1533-position model. The record is from RNAcentral.
AGCGAACGCUGGCGGCAGGCCUAACACAUGCAAGUCGAACGGCUCUUCGGAGCAGUGGCGGACGGGUGAGUAACGCGUGGGAACGUGCCCUUUGGUACGGAACAACUGAGGGAAACUUCAGCUAAUACCGUAUGUGCCCCUCUUCUUAGCGGAAGGGGUGGGAAAGAUUUAUCGCCAUUGGAGCGGCUCGCGUUGGAUUAGGUAGUUGGUGGGGUAAAGGCCUACCAAGCCUACGAUCCAUAGCGGUCUGAGAGGAUGAUCAGCCACACUAGGACUGAGACACGGCCCAGACUCCUACGGGAGGCAGCAGUGGGGAAGUCUU